Molecule: ribosomal RNA, 460 nt
Filed under: uncultured bacterium
Lineage: Bacteria
Description: partial 16S ribosomal RNA
Rfam family: Bacterial small subunit ribosomal RNA
Source: RNAcentral
CCUACGGGUGGCAGCAGUGAGGAAUAUUGGUCAAUGGACGAGAGUCUGAACCAGCCAAGUAGCGUGAAGGAUGACUGCCCUAUGGGUUGUAAACAUCUUUUAUAUGGGAAUAAAACCGGGUAUGCAUACCCUCUUGUAUGUACCAUAUGAAUAAGGAUAGGCUAACUCCGUGCCAGCAGCGGCGGUAAUACGGAGGGUCCGGGCGUUAUCCGGGUUUAUUGGGUUUAAAGGGAUCGUAGGUGGAUUGUUAAGUCAGUUGUGAAAGUUUGCGGCUCAACCGGAAAAUUGCAGUUGAAACUGGCAGUCUUGAGUACAGUAGAGGUGGGCGGAAUUCGAGGUGUAGCGGUGAAAUGCUUAGAGAUCACGAAGAACUCCGAUUGCGAAGGCAGCUCACUGGACUGCAACUGACACUGAGGCUCGAAAGUGUGGGUAUCAAACAGGAUUAGAUACCCGUGUAGUC